UUGAGUGAAAUAAGUAUUUGAACCCCUACCAACCAUUAAGAGUUCUGGCUCCUACAGAGUGGUUAGACACUCCUACUCAAUUAGUCACCCUCAUUAAAGACACCUGUCUUAACUAGUCACCUGUAUAAAAGACACCUGCCCACAGAAUCAAUCAAUCAAGCAGACUCCAAACUCUCCAACAUGGGAAAGACCAAAGAGCUGUCCAAGGAUGUCAGAGACAAAAUUGUAGACCUGCACAAGGCUGGAAUGGGCUACAAAACCAUUAGCAAGAAGCUGGGAGAGAAGGUGACAACUGUUGGUGCAACUGUUUGAAAAUGGAAGGAGCACAAAAUGACCAUCAAUCGACCUCGGUCUGGGGCUCCACGCAAGAUCUCACCUCGUGGGGUGUCAAUGAUUCUGAGAAAGGUGAGAAAUCAUCCUAAAACUACAUGGGAGGAGUUGGUUAAUGACCUCAAAGUAGCUGGGACCACAGUCACCAAGAAAACCAUUGGAAACACAUUACACCGCAAUGGAUUAAAAUCCUGCAGUGCUCGCAAGGACCCACUGCUCAAGAAGGCACAUGUGCAGGCCCAUCUGAAGUUUGCCAAUGAACACCUGAAUGAUUCAAAGAGUGACUGGGAGAAGGUGCUGUGGUCAGAUGAGACCAAAAUUAAGCUCUUUGGCAUUAACUCAACUUGCCGUGUUUGGAGGAAGAAAAAUGCUGCCUAUGACCCCCAAAACACUGUCCCCUCCAUCAAGCAUGGAGGUGGAAACAUUUUGCUUUGGGGGUGUUUUUCUGCUAAGGGCACAGGACAACUUCACCGCAUCAACGGGCAAAUGGACGGAGCCGUGUAUCGUAAAAUCCUGAGCAACAACCUCCUUCCCUCUGCCAGGAAACUGAAAAUGGGUUGUGGAUGGGUGUUCCAGCACGACAAUGACCCAAAACAUACAGCAAAGGUAAUAAAGGAGUGUCUCAAGAAGAAUCACAUUAAGGUCAUGGAGUGGCCUACACCGUAAAAAAUCUAACCUUCAAAAUCGUUAACUGAAAUGAAGAUUCUAAGUUGAAAAAGCAAUUACACCUAAUAAAUGUUCAGGUAACUUAUAAACAUGAGUUAUUUUUCUUCUAAUGUUCAAGGGAAAUGAGAAAGUUGCGUUAAAUGGCAUUAAGUUUUAGUCGACUCCGUGUACUUUCCGUCACUGCGCAUGUGCACUUCCUCCCUCCCCCCCCCUUGGAAAGAAACGGUUUGGAUGCCUACAAGUUUCGGCGAGGAAGCGCUUUUCCCACGUUGCAAAGCAUAAGGUUUGGAAUGCAGUGCAAAUUUUGAGAAUCCCCCUCCUGAUGUACUAUUGAAGCACUGCAGGUUGUCACUAUCAAGGCCACUCUUCAUCAUUACCCUGUCUCUAUCCUGAGUGUUUGCACUUCCAGAAAUCCAGGUGCGUUAAAUGUGACUUCAUCUUGAGCACAUAGACAAAUUCCACAACAAGCACCCCAUUUAAAUUUUUUUGCGAAACCUUAUCAUAUCCAUGAUUGUAAUAUGCAUUCUUAUUUGGACCUGUAUGACUUUGUUGCAGAGAUUGGUGAUAUUACAGGAUUUCUUUUAUGUAACUAAGAUUUUUUUUAAAUGCAAAGAAGUGUUUGUGUAUGCCCAGUGAGAGAGGAAUUCUUUUUUGUGACGUGUUCAAAGAUGUAAUGGUUUUUUUGACAUAAAAGUUCUGCUCAUAUGCAAUCAGGCAUGUUUAGUAUAUAUGCCUAAUAAUUAGGGCACACAUCUUUCUUGUGGUGCUUUGCUGAAGUGUGUGCGUAUCAGCAGUGAUCUUUUAAGGUGGAGUGUGGUGUUGCAAGAGAUUGUACUUAUUAACCUUUUUGAAUUUCAAGGAAUAAAGUGUGUAUACACGAUGUUCAAAAAGGAGUGAAAUAAAAAGUUGUAUUUAAUAA
Non-coding RNA from Paramormyrops kingsleyae, 1915 nucleotides. The record is from RefSeq and is a predicted model, not a curated record. Lineage: Eukaryota; Metazoa; Chordata; Actinopteri; Osteoglossiformes; Mormyridae.